This 486-nucleotide long non-coding RNA is filed under the name Cicer arietinum (chickpea). Its description in RNAcentral is "long non-coding RNA (CARI_LNC000224)". The record is from RNAcentral. Lineage: Eukaryota; Viridiplantae; Streptophyta; Magnoliopsida; Fabales; Fabaceae.
ACGAAUAGCUUCCAAGCUGACAACUAGUGCAAAUGUCUCAAUAUAAUCAAUGCCCUCUUAUUAAUUGUAACUUUAUGCGACAAGUCUUACCUUGCCUUGUAAAUUCUUUAGAUUGAUACUGUUCAUAUUUUGUUAAGAUGACUUUCACAAAUCCUUCUGAUGAAACUUCUUUCCUAUUGCUUGCUUUGAUCAGGGCGGAAACAUAGUGUUGGACCGGUUCUUGAACUUUCACAAGUAGGAAUCUGACUAAGUCCAAUUAUGUAUUUUAUCCUUUAUCAAAAUAUGAUCAUAUAUUUGAAAUAAUAGAUAUAUCUUCUUGUGAGUGUUUCUUCUUGUAAACAAUUCUUGAUCAUAUCUUUUUGUAAAUAUUUCAUAUCUUCUUGUAGAUAAAUCUUGAUCAAAUCUUCUUGUAAAUAAUUCAUAUCUUCUUGUGAUAAAUCUUGAUCAAAUUUUCUUGUAAAUAAUUCAUAUUUUCUUGUAGAUAAA